RNAcentral lists this ribosomal RNA (253 nucleotides) under uncultured bacterium. RNAcentral describes it as "partial 16S ribosomal RNA". It matches the Rfam family "Bacterial small subunit ribosomal RNA", at positions 524 to 776 of the family's 1533-position model. The record is from RNAcentral.
UACAGAGGUCCCGAGCGUUGUUCGGAUUCACUGGGCGUAAAGCGUAUGUAGGCGGCUAGGUAAGUCAGGCGUGCAAGCCCGUGGCUCAACCACGGAAUUGCGUUUGAUACUGCUUAGCUUGAGCACAGGGGAGGAAAGCGGAACUCCCAGUGUAGCGGUGAAAUGCAUUGAUAUUGGGAAGAACAUCUGUGGCGAAGGCGGCUUUCUGGUCUGUUACUGACGCUGAGAUACGAAAGCCAGGGUAGCGAACGGG